RNAcentral lists this small nucleolar RNA (102 nucleotides) under Mus pahari (shrew mouse). Its description in RNAcentral is "snoRNA (MGP_PahariEiJ_G0034922.1)". Lineage: Eukaryota; Metazoa; Chordata; Mammalia; Rodentia; Muridae. The record is from RNAcentral.
UUUCAUAUUGUUCAGUUCAGGGCAGCUUUCAUGUUCUGUGAAUUAAACUUUGGGACAUUGAAAUUGGUGAAGAGGGGGCUGGGGAGAUUAAGAGCACCAAAC